This 75-nucleotide transfer RNA is filed under the name Neogoniolithon spectabile. Its description in RNAcentral is "tRNA-Thr". It matches the Rfam family "tRNA". From Rfam's summary of the family: Transfer RNA (tRNA) molecules are approximately 80 nucleotides in length. Their secondary structure includes four short double-helical elements and three loops (D, anti-codon, and T loops). Lineage: Eukaryota; Rhodophyta; Florideophyceae; Corallinales; Spongitidaceae. The record is from RNAcentral.
GGCUAGUAUAGCUCAAUUGGUAGAGCAGCUGAUUUGUAAUCAGCAGGCUAUGGGUUCAACUCCCUUUACUAGCUU